Molecule: long non-coding RNA, 1885 nt
Filed under: Cucumis sativus (cucumber)
Lineage: Eukaryota; Viridiplantae; Streptophyta; Magnoliopsida; Cucurbitales; Cucurbitaceae
Description: long non-coding RNA (CSAT_LNC001580)
Source: RNAcentral
ACCACCAUCUCCCUCUCCACCGCCUCCUUAUGUCUAUAGCUCUCCCCCACCACCAUCUCCAUCACCACCCCCUCCAUACGUUUAUAGCUCUCCUCCACCGCCAUCUCCAUCCCCACCACCUCCAUAUGUCUAUAGCUCUCCUCCACCACCAUCUCCAUCGCCACCGCCUCCUUAUGUCUAUAGCUCUCCACCACCACCAUCUCCAUCUCCACCCCCUCCUUACGUCUAUAGCUCUCCUCCACCACCAUCUCCUUCCCCACCCCCUCCUUACGUCUAUAGCUCUCCUCCACCACCAUCUCCUUCCCACCCCCUCCUUACGUCUAUAGCUCUCCUCCACCACCAUCUCCUUCCCCACCCCCUCCUUACGUCUAUAGCUCUCCACCACCACCAUCUCCUUCGCCACCUCCUCCAUAUGUCUAUAGCUCUCCUCCACCACCAUCUCCUUCCCCACCCCCUCCUUACGUCUAUAGCUCUCCACCACCACCAUCUCCUUCGCCACCUCCUCCAUAUGUCUAUAGCUCUCCUCCACCACCAUCCCCUUCACCUCCACCACCUUAUGUCUACAAGUCUCCCCCACCACCAUCUCCAUCACCACCCCCACCUUAUGUCUAUAAAUCUCCUCCACCGCCGUCUCCAUCUCCACCACCUCCUUACGUCUACAAGUCACCCCCACCACCAUCUCCAUCACCACCACCUCCAUAUGUUUACAAAUCACCUCCUCCACCGUCUCCCUCUCCACCACCUCCUUAUGUCUAUAAAUCACCACCACCUCCAUCACCAUCACCACCUCCACCUUAUAUCUAUAAGUCACCUCCACCACCACCUUACGUGUACAAGUCUCCUCCGCCACCAUCUCCAUCACCACCACCUCCUUACAUUUACAAGUCUCCCCCACCUCCAUCUCCAUCUCCACCACCCCCUUACAUUUAUAAGUCUCCACCACCACCAUCUCCAUCACCACCACCCCCCUACAUUUAUAAGUCUCCACCACCUCCUUCACCAUCACCACCUCCACCUUAUGUUUACAAGUCUCCUCCGCCACCAUCUCGAUCACCACCACCUCCUUAUGUUUACAAAUCUCCUCCUCCACCAUCCCCAUCUCCACCACCUCCCUAUGUCUAUAAAUCACCACCUCCUCCAUCACCAUCACCACCUCCUCCUUAUGUCUAUAAGUCACCUCCACCACCAUCUCCCUCUCCACCACCACCUUAUGUGUACAAGUCUCCCCCACCACCAUCUCCUUCACCACCUCCUCCUUAUGUCUAUAAGUCACCUCCACCACCAUCUCCAUCACCACCACCUCCUUACAUCUACAAGUCUCCCCCACCUCCAUCUCCAUCUCCACCACCUCCUUACAUUUAUAAGUCUCCACCACCUCCUUCACCAUCACCUCCUCCACCUUAUGUUUACAAGUCUCCUCCACCACCAUCUCCAUCACCACCACCUCCCUAUGUUUACAAAUCACCUCCUCCACCAUCCCCCUCUCCACCACCUCCCUAUGUCUAUAAAUCACCACCACCUCCAUCACCAUCACCACCUCCUCCUUAUGUCUAUAAGUCACCUCCACCACCACCUUACGUGUACAAGUCUCCCCCACCACCAUCUCCUUCACCACCUCCUCCUUAUGUCUAUAAGUCACCUCCACCACCAUCUCCCUCUCCACCGCCACCUUACGUGUACAAGUCUCCCCCACCCCCAUCUCCAUCUCCACCACCCCCCUAUGUCUAUAAAUCACCACCACCUCCGUCACCGUCACCUCCUCCACCUUAUGUUUACAAGUCUCCUCCGCCACCAUCUCCAUCACCACCACCUCCUUAUGUUUACAAAUCACCUCCACCACCAUCUCCCUCUCCACCACCUCCAUAUGUCUAUAAAUCACCACCAC